Molecule: ribosomal RNA, 253 nt
Filed under: uncultured bacterium
Lineage: Bacteria
Description: partial 16S ribosomal RNA
Rfam family: Bacterial small subunit ribosomal RNA
Source: RNAcentral
GACGGAGGGUGCUAGCGUUGUCCGGAAUUAUUGGGCGUAAAGAGCUCGUAGGCGGUUUGUCGCGUCUGCUGUGAAAACCUAAGGCUCAACCUUGGGCUUGCAGUGGGUACGGGCAGACUAGAGUGCGGUAGGGGUGACUGGAAUUCCUGGUGUAGCGGUGGAAUGCGCAGAUAUCAGGAGGAACACCGAUGGCGAAGGCAGGUCACUGGGCCGCAACUGACGCUGAGGAGCGAAAGCAUGGGGAGCGAACAGG